Molecule: unclassified non-coding RNA, 985 nt
Filed under: Megascolecidae sp. YN201716-04
Lineage: Eukaryota; Metazoa; Annelida; Clitellata; Crassiclitellata; Megascolecidae
Description: partial contains 12S ribosomal RNA, tRNA-Val, and 16S ribosomal RNA
Source: RNAcentral
CCCGAUAAUCCACGCAUACUCAACCCCCCUUAGAUUUUCAGCAUGUGUACUGCCGUUGUAAGCACACCUCUAAAAGCUAAAGUGUGCUACCAUGAUAUAUAACUCAUACACAUCAGGUCGAAGUGCAGCAAAUAGGGAGGUGACGAUGGGUUACAACCCUAAAACAGACUAUCAACUAAGAAAUAAAAAAUCUUACGAAAGUGGACUUGGCCGUAAUCAAUUUACAAGUUAAAAAAAUGAAUACUAUCUAAGACAUGCACACAUCGCCCGUCACUCUACCCUAAAGGCUAGAUAAGUCGUAACAAAGUAGGUGUAAUGGAAAUUGCACCUGUAUAGGUAUAGCAUAUACAAUGCUUUUUACUUACACUAAAAAUAAAGUUAAUAAACUUACCUAGAAAAUAAUAUACACUCUUUUAAUAACAUAAGUAAUAGAAACACCUAUAAAUAAAUAAACACUAUAGUACAGAAAUGGAAAAAACAAUUUACAACAGUAAUUUUUAACACAUGUACCUUGUGCAUUAUGGUUUUACAAGAAAACAAUUAAAAAUAUAAAUCCCGAAUUCUAAAUGAGAUGCUAAACUGCUGUUAAGAACUCACUAGUAACUGUAGAAAAAGAUUUAAAAGACAGUUUAGCAGAGGCUACAUACCAUUCGCAUAAGAAAAUAGCUGGUUUUCAACAAACAUUAUUCAUUAAAACAUAUAAUAACAUUAUAGUGUAACAUUACUGAGGAUAAGCCCAGUAAUAUAAGCAAUACUCAUGAAAGUCAGACACCUUACAUAGGCCUAAAACCAGCCAACUAAAAUACUUUAUCGUAAUAAGUAGAGACACAAUACAUAUAACAAGCAUGCUAAAUAAAGUUGAAAUAGUGGUCAAACUAACUACACCGCCUUCACUAUGUAAAAAUAAGUAUUAUAUAACAUAACUACAUUAGUCAAGAAACUAAGAAAAUACAAAAUAGCAAUAAUUAAUUAAGGAACUCGGCAA